AGAGUUUGAUCCUGGCUCAGAUUGAACGCAGGCGGAAUGCUUUACACAUGCAAGUCGAACGGCAGCACGGGAGCUUGCUCCUGGUGGCGAGUGGCGAACGGGUGAGUAAUGCGUCGGAACGUACCGAGUAAUGGGGGAUAACGCAGCGAAAGCUGUGCUAAUACCGCAUACGCCCUGAGGGGGAAAGUGGGGGAUCGCAAGACCUCACGUUAUUCGAGCGGCCGACGUCUGAUUAGCUAGUUGGUGGGGUAAUGGCCUACCAAGGCGACGAUCAGUAGCGGGUCUGAGAGGAUGAUCCGCCACACUGGGACUGAGACACGGCCCAGACUCCUACGGGAGGCAGCAGUGGGGAAUUUUGGACAAUGGGGGCAACCCUGAUCCAGCCAUUCCGCGUGAGUGAAGAAGG
RNAcentral lists this ribosomal RNA (406 nucleotides) under uncultured bacterium. RNAcentral's name for it is "bacterial SSU rRNA". It matches the Rfam family "Bacterial small subunit ribosomal RNA", at positions 8 to 414 of the family's 1533-position model. The record is from RNAcentral.